UUUCCUUGUUUCUGCCCUGGAAGAUGGACAUUUUGCACAGCUCACUAAAGCGUCAAAACUCUAGAGUAGAAGCCCAGAGACCAUAUGACAUCUGGAAACACAGCCAUCAGAAGGGAAGAUAAUGUAAAUUUCAAGGAAGCAUAUUACUCAAAAGGGUGGCAUCUAGCAUCCUGAGGACAUCUGGGAUGAAGACUUUUUCUUACGAGCAAUGAAUGGAACAAGAAGAGAGGAGACAUUUGAUUGUUUCUUACAUUUUCCUGCUGCCGUUACUGCCUUUCAUCAGAUAGUGCCACUGCAAUCCUCCUUUAAGAAUGGAGAGUGGCUUAGUGGAGAAGUUCUGGACAGGAGUCAGACUUGAGGCUGAUGGAUGUAGACCUCAAAUUGCCACUUCAGGGCAACUGUGUGGACGGAAUCUGUCUGGGAAUGAAGCCAACCUGGUGGAGAGUGGUACCGAAAAACAGAGCGGGAAAGACACCUGGAGGUCAGUUUUCGAUAUCUGGAUCCAGCUUUGUUUGAAACUACUUUUAAAGUUUUCAUUUAUAUGUCAACUAAAUUUCCUUCUUUUAAGCCUAUUUGACUCGAGUUUGUGUCUUUUGCAACAGGAAGGAUAUAACAGAGUUAUACUAACUAGCUGCUAAUUAGCUGUGUGCCUCUUAGAAGUCACAGUCACUAAACAGAUAGGGGUCUCAGUUUCCCAUAUAUAAUAUAAAAUGGUUGAACUAGAUGGAUGAAUUUCAUACUUUGGUUUAGGGUAUACCUUCUUCUCAAAGGGAAUCUUAUACUGUUUGUCAUGCUAAUAGGUAAAAUAGAUAAAAUAAAAUGCCUUUACUGAAUCAACAUGGAUUUACAGAAGCCUGCCCACAUGUCAAUAGUUCACAGCUUAAAAUCACUGGAUG
Molecule: non-coding RNA, 896 nt
Organism: Macaca mulatta (Rhesus monkey)
Lineage: Eukaryota; Metazoa; Chordata; Mammalia; Primates; Cercopithecidae
Source: RefSeq, a predicted model, not a curated record